Centruroides sculpturatus (bark scorpion) is the source of this 228-nucleotide long non-coding RNA. RefSeq lists it as uncharacterized. Lineage: Eukaryota; Metazoa; Arthropoda; Arachnida; Scorpiones; Buthidae. The transcript has 3 exons. The record is from RefSeq and is a predicted model, not a curated record.
UUUCAAAGCAACAAACAGACAAAUCCACUGUUUAACUUUUUCAGCUACUUUCACUCGAAUUAGCAAUAAAGAUACAAUUCAAAAUACUCCAAAAGACAUCACAGCCUCAGGCCUCUGUACUUAAGAGGAGACGGAAUGUAUACGUCAUCGAAAUUGUUCAUCUGGUAUUUAUUUAUUAUUGGCACAUUUCUACUUAACGCAUGGAAAUUAGAAGGAAAAACAGUUGCU